This 254-nucleotide ribosomal RNA is filed under the name uncultured bacterium. RNAcentral describes it as "partial 16S ribosomal RNA". It matches the Rfam family "Bacterial small subunit ribosomal RNA", at positions 524 to 776 of the family's 1533-position model. The record is from RNAcentral.
UACGUAGGGGGCGAGCGUUGUCCGGAUUUAUUGGGCGUAAAGAGCUCGUAGGCGGUUUGGUUAGUCGGGUGUGAAAUCUCCAGGCUCAACCUGGAGGGGUCAUUCGAUACUGCCAUGACUAGAGUUCGGUAGGGGUGUGUGGAAUUCCUGGUGGAGCGGUGAAAUGCGCAGAGAUCAGGAGGAACACCCGUAGCGAAGGCGGCACACUGGGCCGAUACUGACGCUGAGGAGCGAAAGCCAGGGGAGCAAACGGG